UACAGAGGUCUCAAGCGUUGUUCGGAUUCAUUGGGCGUAAAGGGUGCGUAGGCGGCGCCGUAAGUCGGGUGUGAAAUUUCGGAGCUUAACUCCGAAACUGCAUUCGAUACUGCGGUGCUUGAGGACUGGAGAGGAGACUGGAAUUCCUGGUGUAGCGGUGAAAUGCGCAGAUAUCAGGAGGAACACCGGUGGCGAAGGCGGGUCUCUGGGCCGAAAUUGGACGCUGAGGAGCGAAAGCGUGGGGAGCAAACAGG
This 254-nucleotide ribosomal RNA is filed under the name uncultured bacterium. Its description in RNAcentral is "partial 16S ribosomal RNA". It matches the Rfam family "Bacterial small subunit ribosomal RNA", at positions 524 to 776 of the family's 1533-position model. The record is from RNAcentral.